CAGUCGCCACGGGAAUACGAAGGGGGCUAGCGUUGCUCGGAAUGACUGGGCGUAAAGGGCGCGUAGGCGGCGGCCAAAGUCAGGCGUGAAAUUCCCGGGCUCAACCUGGGGGCUGCGUUUGAUACUUGGUUGCUUGAGUGGGGAAGAGGGUCGUGGAAUUCCCAGUGUAGAGGUGAAAUUCGUAGAUAUUAUGAGGAACACCGGUGGCGAAGGCGGUUACCUGGAAGAUUCCUGACUCUGAAACACGAAAGCCAGGGGAGCAAACGGGAUUAGAUACCCCAGUAGUCCCUGUCUCUUAUAC
This 301-nucleotide ribosomal RNA is filed under the name uncultured bacterium. RNAcentral's name for it is "partial 16S ribosomal RNA". It matches the Rfam family "Bacterial small subunit ribosomal RNA", at positions 509 to 807 of the family's 1533-position model. The record is from RNAcentral.